Molecule: unclassified non-coding RNA, 292 nt
Filed under: uncultured fungus
Lineage: Eukaryota; Fungi
Also listed under: 1 other name
Description: sequence contains ITS2
Rfam family: 5.8S ribosomal RNA (bases 1-52)
Source: RNAcentral
AACGCACAUUGCGCCCUUUGGUAUUCCGAAGGGCAUGCCUGUUCGAGCGUCAUUAUCACCCCUCAAGCCCUCGGCUUGGUGUUGGACGGUUUGGUGGAGACCCCCCUCGGGUGGGCUUCUACCCCUCCCAAAGACAAUGACGGCGGCCUCGUUGGACCCCCGGUACACUGAGUUCUUCACGGGACACGUAUCGGACACAUGGGUUUACGGGACACGGUCUGCCUCCCCUCAGGGAGAAUCUUUUUUUAUCAAGGUUGACCUCGGAUCAGGUAGGGAUACCCGCUGAACUUAA